AGUGUAGCUCAGUGAUAGAGUACUUGCCUAGCAUGCAUGGUGCUCUAGGUUCAAUCCCCAGCACU
RNAcentral lists this transfer RNA (65 nucleotides) under Heterocephalus glaber (naked mole-rat). It matches the Rfam family "tRNA". From Rfam's summary of the family: Transfer RNA (tRNA) molecules are approximately 80 nucleotides in length. Their secondary structure includes four short double-helical elements and three loops (D, anti-codon, and T loops). Further hydrogen bonds mediate the characteristic L-shaped molecular structure. tRNAs have two regions of fundamental functional importance: the anti-codon, which is responsible for specific mRNA codon recognition, and the 3' end, to which the tRNAs corresponding amino acid is attached (by aminoacyl-tRNA synthetases). tRNAs cope with the degeneracy of the genetic code in two manners: having more than one tRNA (with a specific anti-codon) for a particular amino acid; and 'wobble' base-pairing, i.e. permitting non-standard base-pairing at the 3rd anti-codon position. Lineage: Eukaryota; Metazoa; Chordata; Mammalia; Rodentia; Bathyergidae. The record is from Rfam by way of RNAcentral.